This 406-nucleotide ribosomal RNA is filed under the name uncultured bacterium. RNAcentral's name for it is "partial 16S ribosomal RNA". It matches the Rfam family "Bacterial small subunit ribosomal RNA", at positions 29 to 526 of the family's 1533-position model. The record is from RNAcentral.
AUUGAACGCUGGCGGCAGGCUUAACACAUGCACGUCGAGCGAGCGGCGGACGGGUGAGUAAUGUCUGGGAAACUGCCUGCUGGCGGGGGAUAACUACUGGAAACGGUAGCUAAUACCGCAUACCAUCAGAUGUGCCCAGAUGGGAUUAGCUAGUCGGGGGGGUCAUGGCUCACCUAGGCGACGAGCCCUAGCUGGUCUGAGCGGAUGACCAGCCACACUGGAACAGAGACACGGUGCAGACUCCUACGGGAGGCAGCAGUGGGGAAUAUUGGACAAUGGGCGCAAGCCGGAGGCAGCCAUGCCGCGUGUGUGAAGAAGGCCGUCGGGUUGUAAAGCACUUUCAGCGAGGAGGCGUGACUCGCAGAAGAAGCACCGGCUAACUCCGUGCCAGCAGCCGCGGUAAUAC